GAAGAGAAGACCUCAGAAGAGAUUUCUGACACCAUGCAACUCCCAAGAUCUGGGAUUCUUGACAAGCCUGGGAUAUUGCUCUUGAUUCUGAGUCUCUUAAUUAUUUCAUUGGUGGGAGCUGUGUUUUUGGCUUGGAGAAUAAUGAGACAGAAGAAGGCUGAUGAGAAGUCCAUGGUGUUUCUGGACUCUAAUCAGGUAAGAGAAGCUAUGGUCUGAGGGAAAUUGAGAUCCCCCUCCUCCAUUCUUUCUCUGAUAAGGAAAGAGGCAAAGAAUGCAGUUAUAUAAUGUCCCAUGGCACAAUGGAAUCUUUAUUUUGAUCCAUUCCUGUAGAGAAGUGGUAUGGCCUAGUGGAUAGAAGGCUGGCCCCAGAAUCAACAUAUUGUCUGCAUGACCCUAGGCAAGUCAGCCUUUCAGGGAUCUGAGCAUCUGUAAGACUCCAUGUUGCAGAUCUGACUCAGUAAAGAAAGUUCGUUAUACUAAUGCAAUCACAGGCCCAGUCUUUAUUCCUAUGUCUAACAAAGAAGAUGUGGCAAUAAUUCCCAAUCAGGGGCCAUAGGCAUUGUGCUCAGGGGCUCUGGUUACCACCUUCCUCUCUUACUGUAAGAGAAGUCUGCAGAUAAGGGAUAACAAUAUAGCUAGGCUUUUGCCUAGUCAGAUAGGAACUCGGGUGAAUUUGGAGGCAGGACACAAAGGCUAUGAGAAAGUGUAGAGGGCAUUCAGAGAGAGAGUCAGUAGGCAAAGAAGACUGGGUCAGCCAGGGGAGGAGAUAAUCCUCAAUGAGAAUUCUGGGUCUGGUAUUUACAUGGUACUGUCCAAUGUGCUGACCAGCCCGUCUGUUGCUCCUGAGCAGCCAAACAAUGAACCUUGUUACUCGAAUCUGGAGCUACAGGAGAGACCCUCGAAUCAGGAUCCUCUUACCCAAAGCAAUCUAGACGUGGAAUUCAGCACUGUGAUUGAUUCUCAAAAACAGUCUGUUACAUAUGCCAUCUUAACUUUUCCCAUGGACAACCAGAGCACAGCUUUGGAGACACAGGAGUACCCAGUGGAGAAAACAGUGUAUACUACAAUAAUGAAGACAUAGGCUGCAACCCUCUGGCCUCCUGCACUGAAGGCCAGCCCUUUGGAUAAAAACAUAAAUAAACAUCUCUCUUUUUCCCA
Molecule: long non-coding RNA, 1158 nt
Filed under: Phascolarctos cinereus (koala)
Lineage: Eukaryota; Metazoa; Chordata; Mammalia; Diprotodontia; Phascolarctidae
Description: lncRNA (ENSPCIG00000032090.1)
Source: RNAcentral